AGAUGUCACCCAUCGUCGAGUACCUUACGAGUGAACGGUUACCCGCUAGUGAGUAAGAAGUAAGGAAGAUGAAAAGGAUUUCCACCUAGUAUGUCAUGAUCAUUGAGAAGUUAUACAAAAUGAUUCCAGCUACAUCUAUGUUGAGAUGUUUAGAAGAAUAUGAGAUAGCUCUAAUUUUCACUAAAGUUCAUGAAGGCGAACGUGGAAACCACAACGGUGGGAGAGCUUUGGAAAGCAA
Molecule: long non-coding RNA, 238 nt
Filed under: Lathyrus oleraceus (garden pea)
Lineage: Eukaryota; Viridiplantae; Streptophyta; Magnoliopsida; Fabales; Fabaceae
Description: Pisum sativum (pea) long non-coding RNA (PSAT_LNC008106)
Source: RNAcentral